RNAcentral lists this long non-coding RNA (2147 nucleotides) under Mus musculus (house mouse). RNAcentral describes it as "long non-coding RNA chr1:62542488-62544635". Lineage: Eukaryota; Metazoa; Chordata; Mammalia; Rodentia; Muridae. The record is from RNAcentral.
UCCAGGAAUAUCUAAGAAGGCCACAUUUGCUUACAAAACCAUCAUCAUCAUGAUCAUCAGAAAUAUUUCACAGACUUAGAGCUGCCCCAGUAUACUAACACACUCAGGUAAAGAGGCCUAAAGAGUGUCCUCCAAAAUCAUCCUAUUCCAGAAAACUUCUGAUCUGCCAAGGGAAAAUUAAGACGAUAAAUUACCCUGCAACUCUCAUCCUCCCUUGCUGUCCUCAGGACCACUCUGCAAAACCUGCAGAUGUUCAAGUCCCUUAUUUAAAAUGCUGCAGAUUUAUAUAGAACCUGCAGGCUUUCUCCUACAUACUUUGGAGAAUCUCCACACUAUUGAUAAUACCUAAUGUAAUGUCAGCGUUACCUAGAUAGUUUUUAAUCUCUAUAAUUUCAAGAAUAGUGAUAAGAAAUGAUAUAUACAUAUAUGCGUGUGUGUUCUGUAAUAUGCACUGUGUGUAUACUUACCUAUCUGUGUGCUCAUGUUUGUGGGUACACAAGUGUACAGGCACAUAUACACAUGUGUGUGCAUAUGUAUGGAGUCCAGACAUGAAUCUCCAGGAUCUGUCCAUCUUUGUUUUGUUUUGGAGGGUAGGGUCUCCCACUGAUCUUGGAUCACUUCAACUAGGAUGGCUGAAUAACAAACUCUAAGGAUUUCCACAGUCUCCAUCUGCCCAGUGCCGUGAUUCUAAGCAUUUUCCACCAUCCAUCCCUGGCUCUUUUUGUAAUGAAGGUUCUAGAAAUAGAACCUGGGUUUUCAUGCUCGCAAAGCAAGCCCUUUACUAACAGCUAUCUCCAUAGCUAUCCAGAUGCAUUAGCAUGCCUCCGCAAUGGCUCCCGGACGCUAUCACUACAGAUGCUGUCCAGCUGUGCCCUCAAGCUUGAUUAAAAGUAGGCCAGAGAACAAGAAAAUGUACUCACAGAAGCCUUUAAACCCAAAAUGAUGAAAACGUUUGCUGAAAAGAUUACUAAAUGAAUAUCUGAAAGUGGUUUUAUCAAUGGAACUGACGACUGUUUAUUUUCCUUUGGUACUAUAUACACGCAGUGGCCUGCUUCUAAGACAGCUCUCACAAUUUCUUCUUUUUGCAUGACUUUUCCAUUUUCUCUAUCUCCUGCUCAAUUUUAAUAAAUAUUUAUUUCCUCAAUAUCAGUUCCAAUAAAUAUUCAUUUGCUCAGUCUCAGUGGAGGCCAAUCACUGGCAGCAAAAAUGUGGCAUUGUAUCUAAUAUAGAGGGACUCACUAUCUAAGCCAGUACUCCAUAGGACAAUAGUGCAUGUGGGCAGAGCUGUAAGCCGCUCCUGUCUGGACUCAGAGGGGGCAACUUAAUGUAUUGGGUCUGUAGUCAGUUGCAGACAAGGUGCUCUGGGAGCUAUUUAGGCAAUUUGGGGCUUGCCUCAGCCAACAUAUUUUAUUAUUCUUUUCUCAUGUCAGUGUUAUAUAUUUUUUUUCUUCUCUAAGCCAAAAUAAUAAUAGUAAUAAUAACCUGCCUGAUUUAUUCACUUCAUAUGUUUUACAACAAGCGAACACAUAAAGAUUGUAAGGUUUGUAAAUAUGGGCCAGAGAGCUGAGAAGUCAUUUCCAUCAGCCUUCUUUGUAGCUGUUUUCUCAUCCAGGCUCUGAAAAGCUAGAAAGAAUUGGUCUAGAGAAUUUCAAUGACUCCCUGUGAAAUGGCCUGGUGGGUUUUUAUAGGCCCAAUUAAGUAAGCAAGAUAUGCUAGCUGUAGAGUGUUAACAUUUGCCAAAAGAAAACAUGAUACCUGCUAUCUGCUGGUAUUUUUUUAUUUUCUGUAAAACUUGUUAAGACUGUCACUGUCCUCUGGCAACAGGCUGCCUUUUUUAUUAGCAGAUAAAGAUUAUCUGCUUAUUUAAUAGCAGCAGGAAUACCCUGUAAGUAAUUCCGGAAAUAGGGUGGCUCUCAAGUUUUCUGCAACUGUCCCUGCCUCUAUUGUUGCCUUCUUCAUGAGCUGUAUAAUGUGUGUUAUUAUUACUCUCCCUCCCUUUUGAAAUUCUGGGCUAAACAAGAAUGUUUACCUAUGAGAGAGUUUGUAGACUCCAGAUGGGAAGAGAGAAUGAGCCCAUGUGUAUAUAUGGGGAAAAUGGUGGGUGAUAUCUCUUUACCCUGACAUGGCAUGUUAGUGACUACUGUCCU